Molecule: long non-coding RNA, 945 nt
Organism: Mus musculus (house mouse)
Lineage: Eukaryota; Metazoa; Chordata; Mammalia; Rodentia; Muridae
Product: predicted gene, 51485
Exons: 3
Source: RefSeq, a predicted model, not a curated record
GGGCAGACACAGUGUAGCCAGCAGUGAGGCCUUCACUGGACUGAAGCAUGCAUGGCCCUUGCCUUUUGGGGGGAGAUCCCUUGCUGCUUGGGACUCUGCCAGCAGAAAGCCACCACUCAAUACAGUCUCUCGUCCUUGGGUCUUUGCGACAGUGAACUGAAGAAGUCCUCUUUUCUUUUGAACUCACCAAGGCAAGGCACGGAACACAAAUGACCCUUUCCUUGAAGUGGCAUGGUGGCAACUCAUCUUCCUGAAGCAGUGGCCGUCCUCAUGCUCGGAUGAGUGACCAGACACACUCACAGGACCACUGUAUCCCUGCCGUGCCCUUCGGAACUGAUCAGAACAGAGGAUGCAACUAAGCCCUGGCUGACAGGAGUUCUCCAUUAUCAAGUAGAAUCAGGGGUUCAAAUAGAAACCAGCAGGUUGAAUGUGAUGCUGGCCCACAGGAACAGGGAGCAUUCAAAGAUGCUGGAGCAAGUCUGAGAGCCUCUGUAUCUCUUGCCAUGUUCCAAGCCCUAGAGAUACAGUGGUGGACAAGACAGGCACACUAUCCUGUUUCCAUGUGGUCAACAUUUCCUUACAAUCUGACUGAGGAGAAAAACAGACUGGCCAAUAAAUAAAAUGUACACAGAGCUAUGAGAGUGAGCAGGGGGAGUAGGACGGGAAUGUGCAUAAUUUCAGUGUGAGCCUGAAAAGGGCUCUCCACAAUGGUGCAGGGAUCCCAGGGAGAGAACUGUGAAGCUCUGAGGUAGGGGGAGUGGAGAAACGACCCAGAAUGGUGUUGGGGUGCUCAGCGUUGGAAGCUGGUGUCACUGGAGCCAUGGGGCCAGUGUGGGUGACUUUGCUCUGUGUGAGACAGGGAGUUAUGAUGACAGCUAAAGGAAGAGUGUUAGUCUGACCUCUGCCUGAACAGGUCACACUUUCCAUGUGAUGAGGAAACACAGA